UACGGAGGGGGCUAGCGUUGUUCGGAAUUACUGGGCGUAAAGCGCACGUAGGCGGACUGUUAAGUCGGGGGUGAAAUCCCGGGGCUCAACCCCGGAAUGGCCUUCGAUACUGGCGGUCUUGAGGUUUGGGGAGGUGAGUGGAAAUCCGAGUGUAGAGGUGAAAAUAGUAGAUAUUCGGAGGAACACCAGUGGCGAAGGCGGCUCACUGGCCAGAUACUGACGCUGAGGUGCGAAAGCGUGGGGAGCAAACAGG
This 253-nucleotide ribosomal RNA is filed under the name uncultured bacterium. Its description in RNAcentral is "partial 16S ribosomal RNA". It matches the Rfam family "Bacterial small subunit ribosomal RNA", at positions 524 to 776 of the family's 1533-position model. The record is from RNAcentral.